This is a long non-coding RNA of Acinonyx jubatus (cheetah), 3973 nucleotides long. RefSeq lists it as uncharacterized. NCBI's taxonomy places the organism in Eukaryota, Metazoa, Chordata, Mammalia, Carnivora, Felidae. The record is from RefSeq and is a predicted model, not a curated record. The transcript is spliced from 3 exons.
ACUAAAUUAUUUUUUAAUUUAGAGAGUCUCUUAUGGUUUGUGGAGACCUUGUUUCCUAUCGGGGUGGGGGCCAGGCGGGAUUGAGUGGCCACAGACACUGUGAAGUCAGAUAGAGAUAAACACUCCGAAGAAAUACAAUAGGGUUGUGAGAGAGGGAGAGAGUUGUAGGAGACUGGGGAGAGUGGUGGCUGAUUUGGGAAGGUGGUCAGGGAGAGCCUGUGGCACGGGCACAUUAGAAUGUUCUGCUCCCCACCCCCCGCCAGGAAGGGAGAGGUCUCUGUUUGUUGCAGUAAACAGCCCUCAUCUGGUCUCUUGCAGCCUGUUUCUCCCGGGCAGCGGGGGUUCCUGGGAGUCCACAGGGGCCUUCAGGGACUCCCGUGUGUCUCCACUGGUGGAGGCCCUGCCCUCAGUGGCUGCUGCUCAGGAGGGUGGUGGCGUGUGUGGCUUCCGACUGUGGCCGUGACCGAGUGACGUGUCUGAGGGCUCGGGACGGUGUCUCUGGGCAGUUUGACCUGGGGAUUUGGAAGGUGACAGAUGUGGGGGGCCGGGACAGGGGAGGAAGACAAGAGGGAGGCCGUCCCCGGCCGGUGACAGAGACUGAGGUGACCUACCGCCACACUGAGCUGGCAGAUGUGGGGCCAGGCUGGGCGCCUAUACAUGGUUCCUUGAUCCUUUCCAAGAGCUUGUCUUGUCGAGGGGCUUGUCCGAUCCUGUCUGUUUCCUGUGCCUCUCCUUCCUCCGCCCUCCCCUCCCUGGCACUUGUCGGCGGGCUGGGAGCAGGUGGCCAGGGGGGCGGUGAGCCCCCUGGGACAGCGGGCCCAUCCUUGCCGGGGGUGCUGCCUCCGCUCUACAGGCUGACCUCACCUCCUGGGUUGUCUUGGGAGAAUCCUGGCAGCCUCUUCCUCUGUCCCUUAGAGCUGGGCUUUACCUCUGGGACCUUUCCAGAAAACCACUAGGAGUUCAGGAAGGAGUCUAUACCCCUCCCUCUGUUUCGUGGGGCUCCUCUGCCUUUGCAUCCCAUCCCCCUACCCCCCCAGCUGGGGCAUUUGAGGCUCUCACCUUAGCCAGACAGCUUCUCAGUCACCCAAAACGGCAGUGCUGCGGAGGAAAGGUUCCUCAAAACGUUGAUUCAUUCAUUUAUUCCGCCCACAUUUGCUGAGCUCUCCGUUGUCAUGUCCUUGCUGUACUGUUGUGUUUUUAAUGUUUAUUUAUUUUUGAGCGCACAAGCAGGGGAGGGGCAGAGGGAGGGGGACAGAGGAUCUGAAGAAGGCUCUGCGGUGACAGCAGCGAGUGGGAUGUGGGGCUCAAACUAACAAACCUUGAGAUCGUGAAUCGGAAUCAAGAGUCGGACACUUAACCUACUGAACCGCCCAGGUGGCCCUAAAAUAAAAUCUUAAAAAAAAAAAAAAAAAAAAAGAAUGAAUAGAUAAACAAAUGUGGUCCCUCCAUACUAUGGACUAUUAUUUGGCCAUAAAAAGGAAUGAAGUUCUGACACAUGCUCCCACGUGGAUGAACCUUUAUGUUCAAACACAUUAUGUUCAAACACAUUAUGUUCAAAGCCAACCACAAGAGGCCACUAUUGUGACGUCAUUUACAUGAAAUAUUCAAUACAGGCAAAUAGAGACAGAAAGUGGAUUAGUAGUUGCCAGGGGCCCAGGAGGGGGAAAUGGGGAGUGACUGCCUUUUUUUUUCUUUUUUUAAGUUUUUUGUUUAUUUUGAGAGAGAGAGCACGCGCGCCAGUGGGGGAGGGCAGAGAGAGAGGGAGGGAGAGGGAGAAUCCCAAGUAGGCCCCGAGCUGUCAGCGCAGAACUGGACGCGGGGCUCGAACUCAAGAACCCUGAGAUCAGGACCUGAGCAGAAACCAAGAGUCAGUGCUCAAUAGGCUGACUCACCCAGGCACCCCGGGAGUGACUGCUUAACGGGUCCAGAUUAUUCCUUGGCGAGGCAGGGGGCUCAGAGGCGGGGCGGUGGGCAUAUUCUAGAACUAGAUAGUGGCAAUGGUUGCACAACAUUGUGAGAGUCCCACGUGCCGCUGAGUCAUACGCUUUACAGUGGCUAAGGGUUAAUUUUAUGGUCUCUGAAUUUUAUCACAAUUAAAAAAACAGAAGGAAGUCAGCAAGCUGGAAGUGUUUCACGCUUCUGCUCUGGCUUCAAAUGAAAGGAUCUACAGGGGUGGGUGGUGGGAGGCAGUGCUGCGCAGGAGUGAGGGGAAGGAGCCUGCCCCGUGCUAGGCCCUGCUCCUGCAGGAGCCUGAGGCUUCCCUCCUCCCAGACCCGUCUGCACAAGUGGAGGUGGCCUGGCCUUCGGCCUGUGUGUGUGUGGGGGGUGCAUCGCGGGUGCCGGCCCCCUUGGAGCUCCUCAGAAACCGAGUCAUUGACCUUCCGGCUGCAGCCCACAAACCAGCAUAUGAUUGCACAUCGGCUAUUUCUCCCUCCAACGGAAAUGAACAGCCAGGUGCGCUGUUUGAAGCUCUGCCCGCCGGGAGGCUGGGAGGAUUGCCCUUCACAACUGUCCUUCCAGGGUGUCCUGGGAAGGGACAGAGGUACUGCCGCUCCCUGCUUCCAGCGGCUGCCCGCGCCUCGUGCCGAACCAUCUGUAGCCGGAGCCUGAAUGUUCUCUGAUCCUAAGGAACCCCCAUGAAGCUAUGGGUGCAGGAUGGGAGACAGAAGGACUCUGUACCACGGGACCUUUUGCUUAUAGCAAUGUGGGUCUAUGUUAUCUUUUAAAAAAAUUUUAAUCUUCAUUUAUUUUUGAGAGAGAGAGAGAGAGCGAGCGCCAGAGUGCGAGUGGGGGAGGAACAGAGAGAGAGGGAGACACAGUAUCUGAAGCAGGCUCCAGGCUCUGAGCCGUCAGCACAGAGCCCGUUGCCGGGCUCGAACUCACGAACCCGCGAGAUCGUGACUGGAGCCGAAGUCGGAUGCUUCGCCGACUGAGCCACCCCAGGCGCCCCUCUAUUAUCUUCAUGAUGCUAUCUUUUUAAAACCCCGGAUCAUCCUUCCAGACUCCCUGCUAUGGUAUUAGAAGGAGCAGAUGUGGGGCAAGAGGUGGUGUUGGAACCAUCCGCAGCCCUCAUUUGCUAAAUGCAGCCUGCUGCCUGUUUCUGCACAGCCUGCGAGUUGAGAAUGGCCUUUUCGUUUUUAAAUGGUUGGGGAAAAAAAAAAAAAAAACAACCCACCAUGAUGUGAAAAUUAUAUGCAGUUCAGAUUUCAGUAUCCAAGGGGGUUGGAGGGAUAGGACAGAUGUUGUUUAAGGGUACAACCUGGCAACGAGUAGAAAAUAAGUCCUGAAGAGCUAACGCAGGGUAGAGUGGAUAUAUACAACAAUAUCAUAACCAUCAGAUUUGUUAAGAGACCAGAACCGUUGAUCGUUGCAACUCCGACCAGGAGAUGAUAAUUCCACGAUGCGAUACGGGUGCUAGUUAUCGCUCCGAUGGCAAUCGUAUUCCAACAGCUAAAUGCAUCAAAUUCACAUCUCGGACUCCUCGAAUUCACACGGUGUUCCCUGGCAAAUGUAUUUCCGUGGACUAACUCCGUGUCCGCAGAUAAAGUUUUAUCGACACACAGCUGCGCUCGUUCAUUUCCCUGUCGGCUGUGGCGGCCUUUAUUCGAAGUGGCAGAGUUGAAUCAUUGCAACGGAGACUGCCUGCCUGGCCCCUCGAAGCCGAAAAGAAAAAAUACUUCCUGUCUGGCCUUCCCCCCGCAAGAAGUUUGCAGACCCCUGCUCUACAGGGCCUGAGAACCGAGCGUCAACCCGCCUCGGACUCAGGGCUUCCGGGGAUGUUUCCUCAGUGCACAGGUCUCUUGAUGUGCUUUGUGCCUCCUCCAUGUGACCGUGAGCCCAUGAGAUAUGGACAGUGCCCGUCUUACUACUGUGCAUGCCCUCACUGCUCCUGGACCUGUGCCCGACACACAACUGGUGUUCAACAUACAGGGGAGGGACUGGCAGAAAGCAGGGAGUGGUCAGCCGUCGGGGG